Molecule: long non-coding RNA, 869 nt
Filed under: Malus domestica (apple)
Lineage: Eukaryota; Viridiplantae; Streptophyta; Magnoliopsida; Rosales; Rosaceae
Description: long non-coding RNA (MDOM_LNC016597)
Source: RNAcentral
CGUAUCUUCUAAAAUUGUGCAAAAAAUCAAACGUAAUGAUGGUAAACACCUCCGUUUUCGCGUGCAUGCUCGCAUUUUAUUGAUUGGUUUUGAUCAUCACACAUGUAGAUCUCUAGGUGGAUGACUCUUCGUUUUCAAUUGUGAGAUCUUUCAGUGAUUUAUCUUUUAAAAGCUGCUUCUUCUUUGAGAUCCUAAUAACCGUUUUCAUCUCUGCAUAAUGGAACUUUUGUGCUGUAACCAAAACUUUCUUUCUAUACCCCAUUUUCUCUCUGAUCUUUCAAUGUUCAAAAUCUUCAAACCAAAAACUCCUUAGUUUUUGCCAAUUUCUGUCAAACGAAGCUAAGUAACACCCAAUGUAGCCAUAAUUUGAUCCUAAGACCUCUCACUUCUUGCGAUUUGUUCCAUAAUAUUCAUCCUCUUGUAGCACUCUUGAUGCAGUGUUUGCAUAUGAGUUCAAUCUCAUUGAGGGUUCUCUUAGGGGCUUUUCAUCACCGCUUUCUUCCUCUUCCUCUACUUGUGGGCGACGACCAUGGUGAAUGUCUAUCAGAAUACUCGCCUCAAUGUAGUAUGGUGUUUAGAACGUAGAAAGAUGGGCAUAGUACGCAUUCGAUCCAACGACAUAAACUCCUUUAGAAUUGAUGUUCUUGGCCAAGUAUGUUGUACAUCCUUCAAAAUGUUUCUUUUGCCAGGGGUUAGGGCUUGUCUCAUCCAAACCGUUGUACUUAUUUAGUCUUUCUUACUAGGAAUUUGAUAAUGAACAUGUGCUUGUGUGACUACUUUACUUGUCUUCAUAUUCGUGAAAGAUUCUUAAUCCGAUAAUUUUUCGAAAUAAACGAACUUCGAGAAAUAAAUAAGAAAUGAAGCAAAAU